ARAUGACUCUCGGCAACGGAUAUCUCGGCUCUUACAUCGAUGAAGAACGUAGCGAAAUGCGAUACUUGGUGUGAAUUGCAGAAUCCCGUGAACCAUCGAGUCUUUGAACGCAAGUUGCGCCUGAUGCCUUCUGGUUGAGGGCACGUCUGCCUGGGUGUCACGA
RNAcentral lists this ribosomal RNA (163 nucleotides) under Polygala tatarinowii. RNAcentral describes it as "5.8S ribosomal RNA". It matches the Rfam family "5.8S ribosomal RNA". Rfam says of the family: 5.8S ribosomal RNA (5.8S rRNA) is a component of the large subunit of the eukaryotic ribosome. It is transcribed by RNA polymerase I as part of the 45S precursor that also contains 18S and 28S rRNA. The record is from RNAcentral. Lineage: Eukaryota; Viridiplantae; Streptophyta; Magnoliopsida; Fabales; Polygalaceae.